Molecule: long non-coding RNA, 217 nt
Filed under: Mytilus galloprovincialis (Mediterranean mussel)
Lineage: Eukaryota; Metazoa; Mollusca; Bivalvia; Mytilida; Mytilidae
Source: RNAcentral
AAAAAAUGUACACCGUGAAAAAGUCGUGAUAAUGCAUUAUGUGCCCAUUGUGAAGAUACCGUAAAAUGUAGUACAGUAUGUCUUUUUUGUCCUGAAAAGGUCGUGAAGAUAUGUACCAACUGAAAAUUUGGGUAAAGAGACCGUAGAAACCCUGUGAAAAACAAAAAUGUACACCGUGAAAAAUUCGCGAUAAAUUAUGUGCCCAUUGUGAAAAGAC